Zingiber officinale is the source of this 78-nucleotide small nucleolar RNA. The record is from RefSeq and is a predicted model, not a curated record. NCBI's taxonomy places the organism in Eukaryota, Viridiplantae, Streptophyta, Magnoliopsida, Zingiberales, Zingiberaceae.
CAGAAGGAUGGAACCCAGGCACUGCCGCAGACUGGCCAGAAAACAAUGUGGUAUAGGGUCGGCCUGACGAGUCCGCAA